This is a long non-coding RNA of Ceratitis capitata (Mediterranean fruit fly), 1305 nucleotides long. RefSeq lists it as uncharacterized. NCBI's taxonomy places the organism in Eukaryota, Metazoa, Arthropoda, Insecta, Diptera, Tephritidae. The record is from RefSeq and is a predicted model, not a curated record. The transcript has 3 exons.
UUUUUCCAAGAUUCAACACAAAGUUUUAAGAAUAUUUUAUUUAAUAUAUCUCCAAUAACAUGAUCAUUAUAGAUAUGCUUAAGAUUCAUUUCAUCUUGCUUGAAUACAAUAAUCAUGUUCGCAUUAUCACGAAUUAGGUGUUUAGGAGUUUUUGUAUAAGUUUGAAGAUUUAUUCCGUUUAUCGGAUCAAUAAGCCAUUUAAGAUAGAUGUAUUUCGGUUGAUAAAAUGAUUUUAAAUAAAUGAAUAUAUUUCGGAAAUUAAGUCCGUUUGGGUUUUCAAUUACUGAGCAUAACAUUAGUUUUUCCUCAAUUUGAUGGUCCCACAAUUAGCGCUUGUAUGGAAUUUGGUAAAAGUGGACUAUGCCUAGUAACAUUUUUAACAUUUAUAUAAUUGUCUGCAUUAUUUACCUUAAGUUGGAGAUGUUGUUUAACUACUUUCAUUUUAUUUACUAGAUUUAUAGCAAUAUAAAGAGGAGAUAAGGGUAUAAAUGCUUUAGAUACGGCCUGCAGUCAACAUGAUAUUGCAUAUUCUCAAGCAAAAGAUAUAAAUACCAGACACCAAGCUGAUAAAGUUUCAUCUGAGAAAGCCUGGCAGCGUGCUGCAUCUAAGGACCCUGAUUUCAAAGAACGAGCAAACGCUUGGCUCUUACAAAUGCUAUGAAAGCAAAUCUCAAAUUGGGAAUGGGCAUUUAAAAUAAGAAAAGAAAUGUAUCUAAAUGCAAAAAACGUAGAAAGAUGAAAAACGGAAUAGUAUCAUCUAACAACAUUUUUUUGAUGACAGUUAAAAAAGGUAUAAACAUUCUUAACAAAACGAAACCGCGGUCAUUCAAUGAGGCUUAUAAAAUUUCUCAAGAUGUUGUAAAGUCUAGCUUUAAAAAUAAAAAAAUAACAUACAAAGAAUAAUUCCGGUUCCGAAAAUUGGUGGAAUUUCACCACUGCUUCCUAUUUUAAAGGCGUUUGGUGCACUUGGUGGUAUAGCAUCUGGAGGAUCAGCUAUAGCAAAAGUUUUGAAUGACGUUAGGAAUGGAAAGGAGCGAUUGGCUGAGGCUAGCCGCCAUAAUGGAUAUAUGGAACCAAUCGCUAUGGGGGAAUUUUUAUGCGAAAUUCUUUACCGAAUAAACCGAAAUCUCAAGAAUGUGAAAUUCUUAAUUUAGAUGAUGCUGAUGGUCCUGGUACUCAUUGGCCACCGGUAUAACUGAUUAAUUACCUGAAGCCACCAAUAUAUUACAAUUAUGAACAGAAACUAAAAUAUAACACAGUAAUAUGUGGUCAAUUAUGUUUAAAAUUUUUAUUCAAUAAAAGAUA